Gadus morhua (Atlantic cod) is the source of this 1333-nucleotide long non-coding RNA. RefSeq lists it as uncharacterized. The record is from RefSeq and is a predicted model, not a curated record. NCBI's taxonomy places the organism in Eukaryota, Metazoa, Chordata, Actinopteri, Gadiformes, Gadidae. The transcript is spliced from 2 exons.
UACUUCCGUAAAGUUCACUUUAAUUUAAGUUAAUUUUAAGCUGUAUUUCAGUAUACUUAGCAAAAGUAUACUAAGUUUCAAAUACUUAAAGUGGUAUUUUAGUGUACUUCUGAAAAGUACACUUUGUUUCAAGUCCUUUGUAAUACACUAUUAAAAUGCUUUUUUAGAGUGUAAUUUAAUUUCACUUCAUUAGAAGUGUAUUUAAGUGUACUUCCAUGAAGUGCACUUUAAUGCAAAUACUUUUUAAGCUGUAUUUCAGUGUACUUAGAAAAAGUAUACUAAGUUGCACAUACUUAAAGUGGUACUUUAGUGUACUUCUGAAAAGUACACUUCAUUUCAAGUCCUUUGUAAUACACUAUUAAAAUGCUUUAUCAAAGUAUACUUAAAUUUCCCUUUAUUAGUAGUGUAUUUAAGUAUACUUCCUUACAGUUCACUUUAAUGCAAGUUAAUUUUAAGCUGUAUUUCAGUGCACUUAGAAAAAGUAUACUAAAUUGCAAAAACUUAUAGUUGUCAUUCAGUGUGAUUCUGAAAAGUACACUUAGUAAUACACUAUUAACAUGCUUCAUUUUUAGUAUACUUUAAUUUCACUUCAUUAGAAGUUUAUUUAAGUAUAUUCAUACAUCAUCACAACCAAAGUGUUGAAUUAAUCAAAAAAAUACAGAUAAAUAAUACUGAAAUGGCUACUUUUACUAGCUCCAACGACUAACUAUUAAAGAAAAUCCAAGGCUAUAACCAAAAUUUGAAAAUAGCAAGUUUAUAACGGCCAUCCAAUCAGUGUGCGGCUGCAAAUCGACGUCCAAUGAGAAUGUAGUAUUUAGGUCGCCAAUUGGUGGUUUACUCAAAUACACUUGGCGCGGACGGUUAGUGUUCCAUUUGAAAUUGAGCAGUGAGCACCUAAUAUCUCCGGGUCAAACAAUGACAGUGUUUGGUUUGUUUUAUUUCCAAGACGGCUCCGUUAGAGCAGAUAAUACAUCCGUCAUACGUGAUGCAUACAGAAAUAAAAAAAUAACGGUUAACUGCAGGGAAGACCUCGAGUCGGAGCAGGGCUGGAUAGAGGUAAUUUGGCCUACACAACGGCGACAACAAGAGGCGAAGCCUAUUGCAGCCAAAUUGCUUUUCUUUGGAGACACGGUGAGGGAGAAAUUCCCCAACACCAUGGUUAGUGAGAUCCGGGCCCUGCUGCGGAGGAAAUGCAAUAAUGAGGGCUACACCAAGGUUGCUCCUCAGUAGCUUUAUUAUAUAUGUUAUAUAUGUCAGAUGUUUUAAAGUUAGGUGUUAUUGAAUGUAUGUUUGUAUUAAUAUUUAAAUUAAAGUUUUGGUUUGUACAAUUUAA